AGCGAACGCUGGCGGCAGGCCUAACACAUGCAAGUCGAACGAACUCUUCGGAGUUAGUGGCGGACGGGUGAGUAACACGUGGGAACGUGCCUUUAGGUUCGGAAUAACUCAGGGAAACUUGUGCUAAUACCGAAUGUGCCCUUCGGGGGAAAGAUUUAUCGCCUUUAGAGCGGCCCGCGUCUGAUUAGCUAGUUGGUGAGGUAAAGGCUCACCAAGGCGACGAUCAGUAGCUGGUCUGAGAGGAUGAUCAGCCACAUUGGGACUGAGACACGGCCCAAACUCCUACGGGAGGCAGCAGGGGGGAAUCUUGCGCAAUGGGCGAAAGCCUGACGCAGCCAUGCCGCGUGAAUGAUGAAGGUCGUAGGAUUGUAAAAUUCUUUCACCGGGGACGAUAAUGACGGUACCCGGAGAAGAAGCCCCGGCUAACUUCGUG
This 433-nucleotide ribosomal RNA is filed under the name uncultured bacterium. RNAcentral describes it as "partial 16S ribosomal RNA". It matches the Rfam family "Bacterial small subunit ribosomal RNA", at positions 29 to 507 of the family's 1533-position model. The record is from RNAcentral.